AUUGAACGCUGGCGGCAUGCCUUACACAUGCAAGUCGAACGGCAGCACGGGGGCAACCCUGGUGGCGAGUGGCGAACGGGUGAGUAAUGCAUCGGAACGUGCCCAGUAGUGGGGGAUAACUAGUCGAAAGAUUAGCUAAUACCGCAUACGACCUGUGGGUGAAAGCGGGGGAUUCGCAAGAACCUCGCGCUAUCGGAGCGGCCGAUGUCUGAUUAGCUAGUUGGCGGGGUAAAAGCCCACCAAGGCUUCGAUCAGUAGCUGGUCUGAGAGGACGACCAGCCACACUGGGACUGAGACACGGCCCAGACUCCUACGGGAGGCAGCAGUGGGGAAUUUUGGACAAUGGGCGCAAGCCUGAUCCAGCCAUGCCGCGUGCGGGAAGAAGG
RNAcentral lists this ribosomal RNA (386 nucleotides) under uncultured bacterium. Its description in RNAcentral is "bacterial SSU rRNA". It matches the Rfam family "Bacterial small subunit ribosomal RNA", at positions 29 to 414 of the family's 1533-position model. The record is from RNAcentral.